GUGCCAGCCGCCGCGGUAAUACAGAGAGUGCAAACGUUGUUCGGAAUUACUGGGCUUAAAGCGCACGUAGGCGGCGCCGCAAGUGUGGGGUGAAAGCCCACGGCUUACCCGUGGAAUUGCCUGGCAGACUGCGGUGCUAGAGGAUGGUAGGGGAGAGCGGAACUCCUGGUGGAGCGGUGAAAUGCGUAGAUAUCAGGAGGAACACCGGUGGCGAAGGCGGCUCUCUGGUCCAUGACUGACGCUGAGGUGCGAAAGCUAGGGGAGCAAACGGGAUUAGAAACCCCAGUAGUCC
This 292-nucleotide ribosomal RNA is filed under the name uncultured bacterium. Its description in RNAcentral is "partial 16S ribosomal RNA". It matches the Rfam family "Bacterial small subunit ribosomal RNA", at positions 505 to 796 of the family's 1533-position model. The record is from RNAcentral.